AGUGGCGGACGGGUGAGUAACGCGUGAGAAUCUGGCUUCAGGUUCGGGACAACAGUUGGAAACGGCUGCUAAUACCGGAUGUGCCUUAUGGUGAAAGAUUUAUCACCUGAAGAUGAGCUCGCGUCUGAUUAGCUAGUAGGUGUGGUAAGAGCGCACCUAGGCGACGAUCAGUAGCUGGUCUGAGAGGAUGAUCAGCCACACUGGGACUGAGACACGGCCCAGACUCCUACGGGAGGCAGCAGUGGGGAAUUUUCCGCAAUGGGCGAAAGCCUGACGGAGCAAUACCGCGUGAGGGAGGAAGGCUCUUGGGUUGUAAACCUCUUUUCUCAGGGAAGAAUGAUGACGGUACCUGAGGAAUAAGCAUCGGCUAACUCCGUGCCAGCAGCCGCGGUAAUACGGAGGAUGCAAGCGUUAUCCGGAAUGAUUGGGCGUAAAGCGUCCGCAGGUGGCAAUGUAAGUCUGCUGUCAAAGCGUCUGGCUCAACCUGAUAAAGGCAGUGGAAACUACAUAGCUAGAGUAAGGUAGGGGUAGAGGGAAUUCCUGGUGUAGCGGUGAAAUGCGUAGAGAUCAGGAAGAACACCGGUGGCGAAAGCGCUCUGCUGGACCUUAACUGACACUGAGGGACGAAAGCUAGGGGAGCGAAUGGGAUUAGAUACCCCAGUAGUCCUAGCCGUAAACGAUGGAUACUAGGCGUUGCCCGUAUCGACCCGGGCAGUGUCGUAGCUAACGCGUUAAGUAUCCCGCCUGGGGAGUACGUAGGCAACUGUGAAACUCAAAGGAAUUGACGGGGGCCCGCACAAGCGGUGGAGUAUGUGGUUUAAUUCGAUGCUACGCGAAGAACCUUACCAGG
This 850-nucleotide ribosomal RNA is filed under the name uncultured Scytonema sp. RNAcentral's name for it is "bacterial SSU rRNA". It matches the Rfam family "Bacterial small subunit ribosomal RNA", at positions 94 to 978 of the family's 1533-position model. Lineage: Bacteria; Bacillati; Cyanobacteriota; Cyanophyceae; Nostocales; Scytonemataceae. The record is from RNAcentral.